CUCGAGGGCAGCUCCAGCCUGGGCCCUUCCAGAAGGACCCUCCCCAUCUCCGUCUACAUCUACGCCCAGGGAGGUCAAAGGCAUCAGGAAAGGUGCAUGGGCCAAGAAGCCCCAGGACCACAGGAAUCUCCAAGUUGAGGAAAACAAUUUCGUGCCAUUCAGUUUAAAAUAGGAAAUUGGGAGGGAGAGGCAGAUACAGGGAAGAGAAAAUAAAUGAAGUCACCCCCCCCACCCUGAAAAGAAGAAAAGGAGCGUACAUCCCCCCCCACCCAAGGAGGAAAAGGUCCGGUCCACACAGCGAAGGUUCACAGUGUCCAUCUGUGGAAGAGACCUUGUGGCUGUCCCGUGUCGCUGCACGUAAGCGCCUUAUAACCUACUGCGCUUGUCCCCCGAUGCCUGCCCCCCUUUCUGGCCUCAGUCUGUCUUUAACGGGUUUUGAGACCCUACAAGCUUUCCUUCCCUCUCCCUCCUCCCUGUGCUUCCUCCUCUGCUAAAAGUCCGGGACACGGGGGUGGGGAACAUCAGAGACCCUCGGCCAGGCCCAGACUCUCAGCCCUGCCCUGGGAGGAGGGGGAGCAGUGAGAGGCGAGGGGCCAAGGCAGGCCCCUCCU
This 611-nucleotide long non-coding RNA is filed under the name Sus scrofa (pig). RNAcentral's name for it is "lncRNA (ENSSSCG00035071035.1)". The record is from RNAcentral. Lineage: Eukaryota; Metazoa; Chordata; Mammalia; Artiodactyla; Suidae.